Molecule: ribosomal RNA, 1451 nt
Filed under: uncultured organism
Description: SSU rRNA
Rfam family: Bacterial small subunit ribosomal RNA
Source: RNAcentral
UGAACGCUAGCUACAGGCUUAACACAUGCAAGUCGAGGGGCAUCAGGAAGAAAGCUUGCUUUCUUUGCUGGCGACCGGCGCACGGGUGAGUAACACGUAUCCAACCUGCCCUUUACUCGGGGAUAGCCUUUCGAAAGAAAGAUUAAUACCCGAUGGCAUAAUGAUUCCGCAUGGUUUCAUUAUUAAAGGAUUCCGGUAAAGGAUGGGGAUGCGUUCCAUUAGGUUGUUGGUGAGGUAACGGCUCACCAAGCCUUCGAUGGAUAGGGGUUCUGAGAGGAAGGUCCCCCACAUUGGAACUGAGACACGGUCCAAACUCCUACGGGAGGCAGCAGUGAGGAAUAUUGGUCAAUGGGCGCUAGCCUGAACCAGCCAAGUAGCGUGAAGGAUGAAGGCUCUAUGGGUCGUAAACUUCUUUUAUAUAAGAAUAAAGUGCAGUAUGUAUACUGUUUUGUAUGUAUUAUAUGAAUAAGGAUCGGCUAACUCCGUGCCAGCAGCCGCGGUAAUACGGAGGAUCCGAGCGUUAUCCGGAUUUAUUGGGUUUAAAGGGAGCGUAGGUGGACUGGUAAGUCAGUUGUGAAAGUUUGCGGCUCAACCGUAAAAUUGCAGUUGAUACUGUCAGUCUUGAGUACAGUAGAGGUGGGCGGAAUUCGUGGUGUAGCGGUGAAAUGCUUAGAUAUCACGAAGAACUCCGAUUGCGAAGGCAGCUCACUGGACUGCAACUGACACUGAUGCUCGAAAGUGUGGGCAUCAAACAGGAUUAGAUACCCUGGUAGUCCACACAGUAAACGAUGAAUACUCGCUGUUUGCGAUAUACAGUAAGCGGCCAAGCGAAAGCAUUAAGUAUUCCACCUGGGGAGUACGCCGGCAACGGUGAAACUCAAAGGAAUUGACGGGGGCCCGCACAAGCGGAGGAACAUGUGGUUUAAUUCGAUGAUACGCGAGGAACCUUACCCGGGCUUAAAUUGCAGUGGAAUGAUGUGGAAACAUGUCAGUGAGCAAUCACCGCUGUGAAGGUGCUGCAUGGUUGUCGUCAGCUCGUGCCGUGAGGUGUCGGCUUAAGUGCCAUAACGAGCGCAACCCUUAUCUUUAGUUACUAACAGGUUAUGCUGAGGACUCUAGAGAGACUGCCGUCGUAAGAUGUGAGGAAGGUGGGGAUGACGUCAAAUCAGCACGGCCCUUACGUCCGGGGCUACACACGUGUUACAAUGGGGGGUACAGAAGGCAGCUAGCGGGUGACCGUAUGCUAAUCCCAAAAGCCUCUCUCAGUUCGGAUCGAAGUCUGCAACCCGACUUCGUGAAGCUGGAUUCGCUAGUAAUCGCGCAUCAGCCACGGCGCGGUGAAUACGUUCCCGGGCCUUGUACACACCGCCCGUCAAGCCAUGGGAGCCGGGGGUACCUGAAGUACGUAACCGCAAGGAUCGUCCUAGGGUAAAACUGGUGACUGGGGCUAA